This is a long non-coding RNA of Vespa velutina, 1001 nucleotides long. RefSeq lists it as uncharacterized. NCBI's taxonomy places the organism in Eukaryota, Metazoa, Arthropoda, Insecta, Hymenoptera, Vespidae. The transcript is spliced from 2 exons. The record is from RefSeq and is a predicted model, not a curated record.
UGUCUGUCUCUGUUUAUUUUUUUUCUACCUCGAAAGCGAGAGAAAAAGACAGAGAGAUUCGCCUCGUCUUAGUCAGCUCCUCAUUCUUCCUCUCUUACGUUCCUUGGUAGCGAGCACGGUAGCCAUGUCGACGAAAACGUGUCCGGUGUCCUCGUCGUCGAUGAUGAUCACCGCCAUGACGGAGGAGGAAUCCUUCUCCUGACGUAAGGACAGGAAACAUAUACAAUCCUAUAACUAAUUCUCUCUCUCUCUCCCUCUUUCUCUUUCUCUCUCUCUCUCUCUCUCUUUCUCUUUCUCAUAUAUACGUGAUAUUAUAAUCCUUCGAAAAACUAGAAUGAAUUCUUCACGUUCGUUCGUUCGUUCCUUCGGUGAGCUCGUUCGAUGACAUAUCGUCAUUAAUAAUUUCAUAUUUGCAAAAGAGACUAUAAUAUGUAGUACUUAAAAAAACAAAAAAAAAAAAAAAAAGGAAACAAAGGACGUAAAUAAAUAAACAAAUGAAUGAAUACAAAAGUAAAACGAAAGAAAAAAAGAAAAAAGAAGGAGAGAGAGAAAAGGUCGGUGGUUGAGGGGUGGAAGAAGGUUGGGAUUAAAGAAACGUACGAAAAAAGAAAAAGGAGAGAGUAAAAAAAAAAAAAUAUGGCAACAGGUCGCGUUAGGCGGCACUAGCCGCAUUGCUUUACGUUACGUUACAUUACGGUACAUUACCACCGUACAUUACGUUACGUUACGAACCAAUGACGUAUGUAUUUAUCUAUGCGAUAUAUAUAUAUAUAUAUUAUGUGUUUAUGUAUAUAUGUCUAUAUAUUUAUGUAUGAUGUAUGUAUAUAUAUAUAUAUAUAUAUACUUAAAAGUGUAUCUAUCCGUCGUGUGUCGCGUUCGUGUAGUGUGUUGUUUACCGUGUAUCGUCUCUCACGUCCGUUUGGCGGCGCUUCGUGAAACAAAUGACAAAGAGCUAAAGAAAUAGAAAUAGAAAGAGAGAGAGAGAGAGAGAGAAAGAGAGA